RNAcentral lists this ribosomal RNA (478 nucleotides) under uncultured bacterium. Its description in RNAcentral is "partial 16S ribosomal RNA". It matches the Rfam family "Bacterial small subunit ribosomal RNA", at positions 28 to 507 of the family's 1533-position model. The record is from RNAcentral.
GACGAACGCUGGCGGCGUGCUUAACACAUGCAAGUCGAACGGGAUUUAGUAAACAGAAGCCUCGGUGGAAGAUUACUAAUGAGAGUGGCGAACGGGUGAGUAACGCGUGAGCAACCUGCCUAUGACAGUGGGAUAGCCUCGGGAAACCGGGAUUAAUACCGCAUAAAAUCGUAGAAACACAUGUUUUAACGGUCAAAGAUUUAUCGGUCAUAGAUGGGCUCGCGUCUGAUUAGCUAGUUGGUGAGAUAACAGCCCACCAAGGCGACGAUCAGUAGCCGGUCUGAGAGGAUGAACGGCCACAUUGGAACUGAGACACGGUCCAAACUCCUACGGGAUGCAGCAGUGGGGAAUAUUGCACAAUGGGGGAAACCCUGAUGCAGCGACGCCGCGUGAACGAAGAAGGUAUUCGUAUCGUAAAGUUCUGUCCUAUGGGAAGAUAAUGACAGUACCAUAGAAGAAAGCUCCGGCUAAAUACGUG